UACAGAGGUCCCGAGCGUUGUUCGGAUUCACUGGGCGUAAAGGGUGCGUAGGUGGUGAGGUAAGUCGGAUGUGAAAUCUCCGGGCUUAACCCGGAAACUGCAUUGGAAACUACCUUGCUAGAGGUUUUGAGGGGGGACUGGAAUUCUCGGUGUAGCAGUGAAAUGCGUAGAUAUCGAGAGGAACACCGGUGGCGAAGGCGGGUCUCUGGGCCGAUACUGACGCUGAGGAGCGAAAGCGUGGGGAGCGAACAGG
This 253-nucleotide ribosomal RNA is filed under the name uncultured bacterium. RNAcentral's name for it is "partial 16S ribosomal RNA". It matches the Rfam family "Bacterial small subunit ribosomal RNA", at positions 524 to 776 of the family's 1533-position model. The record is from RNAcentral.